AUUGGCAUGCAUAAAUCCGUUGCUAGAAUAUAAGGGAAUUUCACAUAAUUGUUACAAACUUAUAUUCACAUGUAGUGAAGGUCGCUUAUAAACGAUCGCGUUAAGUUCAAUUCCUAGCAUAAGUGACAUGAUGUCAUAGUUGCAAGUUCUUUGUCAAUGCUUAUGAUUUUCAUUAAACGUAAUGAUCUUUGAUUGUAUCUCUAUUAUGAUGUCAUGUACGGAAUUUUUGAAGAAUGUUUUAGGUUGUCGAAUGAUGUCAUCCAAUCCAAUAAAACAAGGAAAAUCUGAGAGUAAACUAGUGAUGUCACGAUUAAUUUGGAGCAUUGUUGUUCAUAAUUCAAUGAAGUAGUAACUGGAAAUCGAGUUAUUUGCAUACAUGUCAUGUGUGGAGAAAAAGCCUCUAGCUAUUCCAUCCAUCAUCUUAUAAAGCCUCUAGCUAUUCCAUCCAUCAUCUUAUUUCUCACAUUCGUUUUACAAUGUGUCUAGUUUUUCAUACUUGUUUGUUUGUUACAACUUCAUCCAAAUCAAAACCCCCCCUUUUAGUUUCUUGUUUCAAAGUGUUUCAAAUCUGUUUUAGUUUGUG
RNAcentral lists this long non-coding RNA (583 nucleotides) under Malus domestica (apple). Its description in RNAcentral is "long non-coding RNA (MDOM_LNC020795)". The record is from RNAcentral. Lineage: Eukaryota; Viridiplantae; Streptophyta; Magnoliopsida; Rosales; Rosaceae.